This 371-nucleotide RNase P RNA is filed under the name Adlercreutzia muris. RNAcentral describes it as "RNase P RNA component class A". It matches the Rfam family "Bacterial RNase P class A". From Rfam's summary of the family: Ribonuclease P (RNase P) is a ubiquitous endoribonuclease, found in archaea, bacteria and eukarya as well as chloroplasts and mitochondria. Its best characterised activity is the generation of mature 5'-ends of tRNAs by cleaving the 5'-leader elements of precursor-tRNAs. Cellular RNase Ps are ribonucleoproteins. RNAcentral also lists the same sequence under 1 other name. The record is from RNAcentral. Lineage: Bacteria; Bacillati; Actinomycetota; Coriobacteriia; Eggerthellales; Eggerthellaceae.
CGAGCGGGCCAGACGGCCGCGUGCCCUUCGGGGUGCGAGGAAAGUCCGGGCUCCGCAGGGCAAGAUGCCAGCUAACGGCUGGGCGGGGCGACCCGACGGAAAGUGCCACAGAAAAGAAGACUCCCCCGCAUGAAACGUGUCGCCUGCGCGGCACGCACGAAACGGGAGAAAAGCUGAAACGGUGCGGUAAGAGCGCACCAGCGCGCUGGCAACAGCGCGGCUUGGUAAACCCCAUCUGGAGCAAGCGCAAAUAGGAGCGCCAUACGGUGGCCCGCCGUGCGCUCGGGUUGCGUGCUAGAGGCGCGAGGCGACUCGCGUUCGAGAUAAAUGGCCGUCCCCGACAGAACCCGGCUUAUAGGCCCGCUCGUUUU